This 3041-nucleotide long non-coding RNA is filed under the name Homo sapiens (human). RNAcentral's name for it is "HSALNT0301393". Lineage: Eukaryota; Metazoa; Chordata; Mammalia; Primates; Hominidae. The record is from RNAcentral.
CCUCUCUCCACGUCCACGGCGCCGAGUCUCGCCACGGUGGCGCAGGCGCCAGGGAGGUUCCCCGGCUUUGCCGCGCGGAGGAAGUCCCGGUUACGCAGAGCGCGCUGGGGCAGGGCUGACCUUCCCCUUUCUCUACUUCACUGGCCUCCUCCAGACGUGGUGGUUGCGCCCUUUCGGCCUCGCUUUCCGUUUUUUGGCUUCAUCCCCUAGAUCUGCAAACAGUUCCUCGUGUUUCUUCCGUUAGCCGGGAAACGCGAACUGCAGCGUUUGGGACCCGGGUUUGCGCGUGUGGAAAGCAAAAGGGGUUACUCUGCUGGAGUUCGACAUUGCAAAUAAAGGUCUUUAUCCCCGGCGGUUCUACAAAAUUAGUUCUGCAGGGAUUCUGGUUGAAAGAAGCGUUAAAGUGGGCCUUGUAGGAGUCAGCAAUAAUCCAAUUUUACAUGGGUGCAGGUGGCUGCCUGUGUCUAGCGCUUUCACACAUCUCAUAUCUUCAUCCACGCCGUGGGUAUUUUUUUUCCACGGUGUGUUUCUGUUGCUGCCUCCAGUAUAUUGCUUAAUCAUCCUACCUGGUAAUUAUUUAUGCAUUUUUCUCCUACUCUCGACUCAGCUCCUAGGGAAUAAAAACACAUUAACUUAUCUUUGUGCCCACAGCACCCACCAAGUAUUUCCAUCACGUAAUACUGCCUCUAGAAAGGCAGGAGGAGAAGCAGUCACGCUAAGGAUCUAGGCAAGCCAGAUCUUUUGUCCGGUUUUAGGAGGUGGCCAGCCCUUACUUAUUCCACAAGUGUUUUUCCAGAAACUCAGACUUGAUAUUGCCUCAAGUCCAAGGCAGUGUGCUUCCCCCACUCACAUAUCACUAAUAGUAGCUAACAUUUGUUCAGAUCCCUGUAUGUACUCUGCCACUGUUUUAAAUGUUACACCCGGGUUACCUCAUUUAAUCCUUACAACUGCCCUGUGAGGUAGGUACUAUUAUUAUCUCUACUUUGUAGAUGGGAUUCACCGAGGCACAGACGGUUAAAAAACCUAGCCCAAAUAACACAAAUAAACAGCAGAGCAUGCAGUGCUAGAGUCUGCAUUCUUAACAAUUGCUAUAUUCUCCCUCUCCGUGAAUGUGGGCUGAGAUGCUGAAACAGGCAUGUGCUGUGGGGGAGAAAAAGCUUUGUCCAACCAAGUGCUUUCUAAUGUCCAGAUGACAUAGAGCUAGGAUUUCCUAAUGUCUUUUUUCCCCUAUUUUUCUCUCCAUUUCAGGGUUGAGUUUGUGCAUCGAUUGUGAACACAACAGGCAGCAGGCUAUAAUGGUGGUCCUGGCUGGAGUAGUUUUCACAGACUUCAGUAAUCUGUGGAGAUGAACGGGCAGUUCUCUGUAGUUUUCACAGAUCACUGCCAGUUCGUUUUGAGGCCUUCAGGAGUGAAGACCUGGCUCAUCAUCACUCUUUGUUGUUUUGUUAAAUUUAUUUACACCCUACUUUAUUCCAGAGGAAAGGAUUUAACGUAGUUUACAUAAAUGUGUACAUCAGGGUAAAUUAAAAAUAAGUACAGAGAAAAAUAGGACAAAAGAAAACCGUGAGUGUGAAAGAUAAGAUUAAGCCAGCAGUUUUGUAUGCAAAAUGCAUGGUGUAAGGUCCUAUUGGUUUGCUGGAGGUAGGCCACACAUAUGACUCUCAGUUUUCUAGCAACCAAGAAAAAGAUCAGUUGCAAUCGGAGUAGGUGUUUUGGCUAAGCUGGAACUAGGACUUGAAUAUAGCAGCUUGUAGAGUUAUACCACUUGCCCAAAUCUCUUCCAUGAGCCUCUUUAAGUGUAACAGAAUGCCUGGGAGCACGUAAAUGCUCCUACUUAGAUGCCUACUUAGCCUCUAAUUUUCAUGGGGCCCAUGAAUCCCAUGAAAAAGAACUUUGAACCCUGUCCACAAUUAGAGUUCAGGUAUACGCAGACAUGUUUAAAGACAAGGGACACCCAAAGGAAAGAUUGCACAGAGAGAAAGUGAGCAUCCGAGAGAAAAUCACCACAAGUGAGGCAGAGGGAGGCCGGUCUCAGCAGAGUUUUGGAGGUCGUGAGAAGAAGAGGUAGGAGAUAGGAGAGUGGUUCCGAGUACUUGCCUGCUGAUGUUACCUUCUCCACCCCCACCAGGUUUUCCAGUGCCUGGAGUCUUGGGCAGGAAUGGGCCACUGUAAGAAAGAGCUUUAUCACUAGGGCCUCAGCCAACUUUUCUGUGGGAUAUCCCUCCAAAAUAAUUAAGAGUUCAGAAUGCUUCAGAUUUUGAAGUGAAACUGGUACAUAUAUUAAGUGUUACUUAAUAACCCGAUAGUUUCUAGGGCAGCUCACCAUAAUCCCAAGUAUUAGCCACCACCCUCACCCCCUUCAGAGUAAAAUGUGUUUCCUGAAGGAAGUUGGGAAAAUGAAGAAAAAAAAUACAAAAAUCACCUAUAAUCUUACCAGUCAUAGAUGGCAGUUUUCCUGUCUUAUUUCUGAAUAAUGGUUGUUAAACAUUUGCCAGCACACCAUAAGGCUUAGGGAGGCAUCUGGGUCAUGCAUGUUAAUAUCCUUGGGUAAUUCCAGAAAUCUCUAUGAAGGGAAACUCCUGUUAUUUAUCUAGACUUCCUGAUUGCAAGGGGUUUGGGCAUCAUGAUUUAGGGGUCUUAAUAAAAUUAUUAUUUUAUUUUUACUAAUAGAUAAUGUCUGUGCCUAUCAGAUAAAGGCAAACCAGUGCUCAGAGGAACCCAACCAUCUCUGAAUUGAGACCAGAGAGCUGUCUCUAUGGAUAGUCCUUAGAGAAGGCAUUUCGGAACACAGUAAACAGCAGCCUGGUGACUCCGAUUACAGGGCCAGUUGCCUUUGUUACAAUAAAAGCAAGUCAUCUACACAGAUGAGCAGAUUCAUGUAUGACCAGAAUGUAAACCAGGAUCACAGAGCAGCCGGAGAGGUGGUGACAGAACCAUCGAUGGAACCCUGGGCUCCAGGUUCUGACUCCUAUUUUCACUCACUAAUUUUUUUUUUUUGAGAUGGAGUCUUGCUCUGUCGCCAGGCUGGAGUAGAGUGGCAC